This 996-nucleotide ribosomal RNA is filed under the name uncultured bacterium. RNAcentral describes it as "bacterial SSU rRNA". It matches the Rfam family "Bacterial small subunit ribosomal RNA", at positions 356 to 1376 of the family's 1533-position model. The record is from RNAcentral.
GGGGAAUAUUGCACAAUGGGGGGAACCCUGAUGCAGCGAUGCCGCGUGGAGGAAGAAGGUUUUCGGAUUGUAAACUCCUUUAACAGGGACGAUAAUGACGGUACCUGAAGAAAAAGCUCCGGCUAACUACGUGCCAGCAGCCGCGGUAAUACGUAGGGAGCGAGCGUUGUCCGGAAUUACUGGGUGUAAAGGGAGCGUAGGCGGGACGGUAAGUCAGGUGUGAAAUAUACGUGCUUAACAUGUAGACUGCACUUGAAACUGCUGUUCUUGAGUGAAGUAGAGGUAAGCGGAAUUCCUAGUGUAGCGGUGAAAUGCGUAGAUAUUAGGAGGAACAUCGGUGGCGAAGGCGGCUUACUGGGCUUUUACUGACGCUGAGGCUCGAAAGCGUGGGGAGCAAACAGGAUUAGAUACCCUGGUAGUCCACGCUGUAAACGAUGAUUACUAGGUGUGGGGGGACUGACCCCUUCCGUGCCGCAGUUAACACAAUAAGUAAUCCACCUGGGGAGUACGACCGCAAGGUUGAAACUCAAAGGAAUUGACGGGGGCCCGCACAAGCAGUGGAGUAUGUGGUUUAAUUCGAAGCAACGCGAAGAACCUUACCAGGUCUUGACAUCGUAUGCAUAGUCUAGAGAUAGAUGAAAUCCCUUCGGGGACAUAUAGACAGGUGGUGCAUGGUUGUCGUCAGCUCGUGUCGUGAGAUGUUGGGUUAAGUCCCGCAACGAGCGCAACCCUUACCUUUAGUUGCUACGCAAGAGCACUCUAGAGGGACUGCCGUUGACAAAACGGAGGAAGGUGGGGAUGACGUCAAAUCAUCAUGCCCCUUAUGACCUGGGCUACACACGUACUACAAUGGCAAUUAACAGAGGGAAGCAAAACAGCGAUGUGGAGCAAAUCCCGAAAAAUUGUCUCAGUUCAGAUUGCAGGCUGCAACUCGCCUGCAUGAAGUCGGAAUUGCUAGUAAUCGCAGAUCAGAAUGCUGCGGUGAAUACGUUCCCG